Molecule: long non-coding RNA, 828 nt
Organism: Cercocebus atys (sooty mangabey)
Lineage: Eukaryota; Metazoa; Chordata; Mammalia; Primates; Cercopithecidae
Exons: 3
Source: RefSeq, a predicted model, not a curated record
ACAAAGGCGAGCCAGAGCAGGAGGAAAUUCCAUGUGAACUGUGGAGCUCGGCUGCCUCCAACCUCAUGCGACGAAGCCAUUACGUAGGACAGAGGGACCUGCAAAAAAUGGAGGUGUCCAACACUUGUGGAGCCUGAUUGCAAUGAGUGACUGUCAACAGCAUCUUCGAGAGACGGUUUCUAACAAGCACCCUGGAGAGAAUCCUCCAAAGCCAAAAGUCAUCCAAAGGCCAAAUAAGAUUGCAUGCCAAGAGCGAUAUCUGAAAGUAGGAAAUAGAACCUUUGGUGUUCCGCUCAAAAUGAAGGAAAGAUGAGAAGGAAACAUACAGACAGAGUGAACCCAUUUCGAUUUUAAUUCAGUUCCAAGAAACUGCCCCGCCUGAGAAGAUAAGGACCACUGGGGUCCGUCCUGGCUUUGAGCUCCCAGUGAAGUGUGUGUCAUUCCAUUUUGGGAGCUGUUUCUCAGAUGUCCCCGGCUGCAGGGUGGACCUCGGGACACAUCCUCAGUGGAUCCUGCCAUCUUGGAUCUGCACUGCCAGGAUCUCGCUAAGCCCAGACUCUCAUUCUGGACUUCCUUGGAAUGGACUUCCCAGUGUACCGACUGGUUCUGGAAGCAAGGACUGCUGGCCCCAGGAAGCCAGCUCCUCUGUCUGCUGACUGCAGCCUGCUUCUCUCUCUAGCACAUUCUGGUGCAGAGAUGGUGACAGGGUUUGGGAACCAGAUAUAUCUAGAUUAAAAUUCUUGCUCUGCACAAGUGACUCGGCUUCUCAGAAACUUGAUUCUCUCUGCUAGAACUUGGACCCCAUACAAGUACCUGUCUCCAGGGGUG